AUUUGAAGCUGAAGGGGCCAUCUGAGGAGGAACAAGUGCAGCUUCUACAGUAUGAGAGUGGACCCCAGCUGGCAGCCAGCCGUGCACUGGAUUCUCCAACAGCCUGAAUGAGCUGGGGAGCCUGUUAUUUUCCCAGACAAGAAUGCAGCCAAGCUCACAAGGACUUCUGACCUACGAAAUGCCGUGUUCAUCUGCCGUUUUUGAAUCUACCCCUCCACUCCACACCCACCUUGGGAGGAGGACAGGAGAUUGGCAAGCCUCCGGACCAGGCCAGCAUCCCGUGGUAGCAGCACACUGGGUGCAUUGGUCCCUUCACGCCCCACACAUGCCCCUGUGCCUUUCAGGAAGUGAGACUUCCCUCUCUUGGCUUCCUGCUUUUGCCACACCACUCAUCAGCCCUGACAGGCCCUCCAGCCCCUCUCCACAUGCUGCCCAACCACCUGUUAGUCUAUGGACCCAUUUUCUCCCGUACCCAAGGAGGCAGAAACCAGGAAUGGUGCAGAGAGGUCCUUACUAGACAGCUUGGCAGGGGUGUUACUGAUGCUCCCAUGGGGAGUUGAGAUCCAUGACCAGGGGUCCAAAGAGAAGAACAGCAGGAAUGAGAACUAGCAGCCAAAAAGCGGGAGCUAGCACAACAGACAGUCACAGGAGAUGCUGAGUGAAAAGUAAACAUAUAGACUAGCCCAACUUCAUAUUGUUAGGAAGAAUCAUAGUGGCUUGAGUCAUUUUAAAAGAUUAGAUACAUACCUAUUGGAUCUGGCACUUUGAUCCCGUUUAUCACUUUGAAAUCUCAUCCAUUGGAAUUUCGGUCUUUUUUUUUUCAGUCUUGUUGUGUUGACUUCUCUGCAGCACCAACACUGUCACUCUCUCCCUGCUUCUUGAAACUUCUCUCUUAGCUUUCCUGAUACCAGCCUCUCCUACCUUUCCUACUAUAUAUCUGGUCACUUCUUCUCCUUCUCUUUGUAAGAUCCUUUGCUUUCACUCACUCUUAAAACUGGCGUUCCCCAAUGACCCAUCUUUGACCAACCUCUCACUCUCUCCAUUCAUUCUAGGUUAUUUCAUUCCCUCCUAUGGCUUGAUUUCAACACCCUUAUAUGCUGAUGACUCCUAAA
Molecule: long non-coding RNA, 1112 nt
Filed under: Equus caballus (horse)
Lineage: Eukaryota; Metazoa; Chordata; Mammalia; Perissodactyla; Equidae
Description: lncRNA (ENSECAG00000055335.1)
Source: RNAcentral